RNAcentral lists this unclassified non-coding RNA (530 nucleotides) under leaf metagenome. RNAcentral's name for it is "partial contains internal transcribed spacer 1, 5.8S ribosomal RNA, and internal transcribed spacer 2". The stretch from base 189 to 342 matches the Rfam family "5.8S ribosomal RNA". The record is from RNAcentral.
CAUUAACUAAACCGUACGCGGCGCUCCCCUUAGCCGGGGGGUGUCGCGGACCGUUCAAACCCUCCGUGUACCAAUACCUCUGUUGCUUCCCGCUCGAGCUUCGGCCCGCGGCGGGGAGGUCUACCUAAACUCUUUUGUCUCAAUGCAGUCUGUAGAUGGCGGCUAGUCCGCGAAAAUUUAAAAGUUAAAACUUUCAACAACGGAUCUCUUGGUUCUCGCAUCGAUGAAGAACGCAGCGAAAUGCGAUAAGUAGUGUGAAUUGCAGAAUUCAGUGAAUCAUCGAAUCUUUGAACGCACAUUGCGCCCUCUGGUAUUCCGGAGGGCAUGCCUGUCCGAGCGUCGUCAAACCCCCUCGAGCAGCCUUUGCUGCUUGGUCUUGGCCGGUGAUCGCGUCCCCUCGGGGAGGUGUUCACGGCUGAAAGGGAUCUGGCGGAGAGCCUGGUCUCCACGGUUGUAGUAAGCUUAUGCCUAUCUUCCGCGUGAGUGACCAGUUAUCCAGCCGUCAACCUCACUUCUUCUGGUUGACCUCG